Molecule: long non-coding RNA, 465 nt
Organism: Neogale vison (American mink)
Lineage: Eukaryota; Metazoa; Chordata; Mammalia; Carnivora; Mustelidae
Exons: 4
Source: RefSeq, a predicted model, not a curated record
CGGAGCUUCUUGUCGUCUUUGUGGGUCGAGGGCGACACUGAAGCAAAGGGAUUAUCACUGUAUGGAAAUGAACUGGAAUUGAAGUCAAUGAAGAAAAGAAGACCAUGUUCUGCUUCAUGAAGAGUGAGUGAAAAAUCAGUGUUCCUGGUUCACCACUCCAACAGCACAGAAGGACAGUUGUUCUUCAUCCUGGAGCUUCCCUACAGAACCAAGCAUAUGAAUAUAUAUUCCAGCACAAAUGGGCUCAUCCUAGAAGGAUGCUCCGAAGGUCUGAGAAGCACUAUUCACUCCAUGGGGGAUGGUGGUAAUAGGCUGUCAGGAUCCUGCAGGAGCCUCCUCCAGGUGGGGGCCUGGAAGCUGGAGGAAACCAGACCCCACUCAAGUUCCUUGAGGAACAGGAACAGAAGCAGGUGUGCCGGCCUUAGGUCAGAGGGGCCUUCUCAUCCCCACCUGACAACACUUCUC